AUGAGGGCAUCGAGACCAGGCAGAACGCCGCUCGCGGUUUUGCUGUGCCUGCUCUUCUGCCCCAUCAGGAACGCCGCUCACACACUCACUAAGGGACUGGUGGGUUCCACAGGGCCCAAACCCACUGUCGCGCAAGAAAAAGAAAGCAAAGCCCCAACCAUCAGCUGCUCAAUCAUCAGAUGUAGAACUGAUAGUAAGAUGGAGAAGAGUUUGAAAAAGAACCACCCUCACCGUGGCCACCCUCGCGCCACCGCGGCGCCCAGGCCGUUCACCGCCGACACCACAGUCUGUUCACCAGUGACAUAG
This 306-nucleotide ribosomal RNA is filed under the name Triticum aestivum (bread wheat). Its description in RNAcentral is "partial small subunit ribosomal RNA". Lineage: Eukaryota; Viridiplantae; Streptophyta; Magnoliopsida; Poales; Poaceae. The record is from RNAcentral.